This 589-nucleotide ribosomal RNA is filed under the name Aphelenchoididae environmental sample. Its description in RNAcentral is "SSU rRNA". It matches the Rfam family "Eukaryotic small subunit ribosomal RNA", at positions 1024 to 1643 of the family's 1831-position model. Lineage: Eukaryota; Metazoa; Nematoda; Chromadorea; Rhabditida; Aphelenchoididae. The record is from RNAcentral.
UUCUGACCGUAAACGAUGCCAACUAUCAAUCCGCCAGUGGCUUUUAGUCAUUGGCGGGCGGAUCGACGGAAACGAAAGUUUUUCGGUUCCGGGGGAAGUAUGGUUGCAAAGCUGAAACUUAAAGGAAUUGACGGAAGGGCACCACCAGGAGUGGAGCUUGCGGCUUAAUUUGACUCAACACGGGAAACCUCACCCGGCCAGUACAUCAUAAGGAUUGACAGAUUGAAAGCUCUUUCAUGAUUUGAUGAAUGGUGGUGCAUGGCCGUUCUUAGUUCGUGGCGUGAGUCGUCUGCUUAAUUGCGAUAACGAGCGAGACUCCAACUGCUAAAUACCGUAGUAAUUAUUUGUUGCCAACGGUUCUUAGCUGGAUUCGCGGCUUCAAGUCGCAAGAAAUGGAGCAAUAACAGGUCUGUGAUGCCCUUAGAUGUUCGGGGCGGCACGCGUGCUACAAUGAUGACAACAGCAUGCUUGUGCUCGACCGACAGGUCUUGCCAAACAUAUGAGAUGUUAUUAUGGCUGGAAUUGAGUGUUGAAACUUUCUCUCAUGAACGAGGAAUUCCAAGUAAAUGCAAGUCAUCAACUUGCAUUG